GACGAACGCUGGCGGCGUGCUUAACACAUGCAAGUCGAACGGAGAGGCCCUGCUUUUGUGGGGUGCUCGAGUGGCGAACGGGUGAGUAACACGUGAGUAACCUGCCCUUGACUUUGGGAUAACUUCAGGAAACUGGGGCUAAUACCGGAUAGGAGCUCCUGCUGCAUGGUGGGGGUUGGAAAGUUUCGGCGGUUGGGGAUGGAAUCGCGGCUUAUCAGCUUGUUGGUGGGGUAGUGGCUUACCAAGGCCUUGACGGGUAGCCGGCCUGAGAGGGUGACCGGCCACAUUGGGACUGAGAUACGGCCCAGACUCCUACGGGAGGCAGCAGCGGGGAAUAUUGCACAAUGGGCGGAAGCCUGAUGCAGCAACGCCGCGUGCGGGAUGACGGCCUUCGGGUUGUAAACCGCUUUCGCCUGUGACGAAGCGUGAGUGACGGUAAUGGGUAAAGAAGCACCGGCUAACUACGUG
This 468-nucleotide ribosomal RNA is filed under the name uncultured bacterium. RNAcentral's name for it is "partial 16S ribosomal RNA". It matches the Rfam family "Bacterial small subunit ribosomal RNA", at positions 28 to 507 of the family's 1533-position model. The record is from RNAcentral.